AUACGGAGGAUCCGAGCGUUAUCCGGAUUUAUUGGGUUUAAAGGGUGCGCAGGCGGCCAUUUAAGUCAGCGGUUAAAUCGUGGGGCUCAACCCCAUUCUGCCGUUGAUACUGGGUGGCUUGAUUGCGGUCGAGGUUGGCGGAAUUCGUUGUGUAGCGGUGAAAUGCAUAGAUAUGACGAAGAACACCGAUUGCGUAGGCAGCUGACCAGACCGCAAAUGACGCUCAUGCACGAAAGUGCGGGGAUCGAACAGGAUUAGAUACCCUGGUAGUCCGCACAGUAAACGAUGAAUACUUGUUUUCGGCGAUAUAAUGUCGGAGGCAAAGCGAAAGCGAUAAGUAUUCCACCUGGGGAGUACGCCGGCAACGGUGAAACUCAAAGGAAUUGACGG
Molecule: ribosomal RNA, 390 nt
Filed under: uncultured bacterium
Lineage: Bacteria
Description: partial 16S ribosomal RNA
Rfam family: Bacterial small subunit ribosomal RNA
Source: RNAcentral